GCGGGCGUAGCUCAGUUGGUAGAGCACAGGAUUGUGACUCCUGUGGUCGCCGGUUCGAUCCCGGUCGCUCGCCCCA
RNAcentral lists this transfer RNA (76 nucleotides) under Gammaproteobacteria bacterium. RNAcentral describes it as "tRNA-His". It matches the Rfam family "tRNA". Rfam says of the family: Transfer RNA (tRNA) molecules are approximately 80 nucleotides in length. The record is from RNAcentral. RNAcentral also lists the same sequence under 2 other names. Lineage: Bacteria; Pseudomonadati; Pseudomonadota; Gammaproteobacteria.